Molecule: unclassified non-coding RNA, 353 nt
Filed under: soil metagenome
Description: partial contains 5.8S ribosomal RNA, internal transcribed spacer 2, and large subunit ribosomal RNA
Rfam family: 5.8S ribosomal RNA (bases 1-120)
Source: RNAcentral
GAUGAAGAACGUAGCGAAAUGCGAUAAGUAAUGUGAAUUGCAGAAUUCAGUGAAUCAUCGAAUCUUUGAACGCACAUUGCGCCCGCCAGUAUUCUGGCGGGCAUGCCUGUUCGAGCGUCAUUACAACCCUCAGGCCCCCGGGCCUGGCGUUGGGGAUCGGCGGAAGCCCCCUGCGGGCACAACGCCGUCCCCCAAAUACAGUGGCGGUCCCGCCGCAGCUUCCAUUGCGUAGUAGCUAACACCUCGCAACUGGAGAGCGGCGCGGCCACGCCGUAAAACACCCAACUUCUGAAUGUUGACCUCGAAUCAGGUAGGAAUACCCCCUGAACUUAAGCAUAUCAAUAAGCGGAGGA